UGCCUUGUGGUUCAGGACAACAUUGGGAAACCGAUGCUAAUACUGGAUAAGCCCUUACGGGGAAAGUUUUAAUGCCAUAAGAUGAGCCCGCAUUUGAUUAGUUAGUUGGUGAGGUAAUGGCUCACCAAGACAAUGAUCAAUAGCUGAUCUGAGAGGAUGAUCAGCCACACUGGGACUGAGACACGGCCCAGACUCCUACGGGAGGCAGCA
Molecule: ribosomal RNA, 210 nt
Filed under: uncultured bacterium
Lineage: Bacteria
Description: partial 16S ribosomal RNA
Rfam family: Bacterial small subunit ribosomal RNA
Source: RNAcentral